CUCUCCCUUCCUCUGAGCCAGGAAGGGAGAGCGAGGUAGAGAGGUAGAGGUGGAGAGAGAAAAUCGGAGUAUUAAAAAAAAGAGCCUAUAGCUACAAGGCUGUGGACCAACCUACACUGGAUGGAUAUUCUCUCUAUCUCUCUCUCUCUCUCCCUCACUGUCCCUCCCUCCCUCUCUCUCUUGCUCUCUCUCUCUCCCUCCCUUCAUCACUCACUCAGUCACUCGCUCAGACCCUCCUCUCUUACUCUCUCUCCCCCUCUUCCCCAUCUCCCUCUCUCCCCUCUCUCUAUCUCCCUCUCUCACACACACCGAACACACACAUACACACACAGAGCUCUCUCUCAGCUCUUUCUCUGUCAUGCUCUCUUGCUCUCUCGCCCUCUCUCCACUCCCUCUGCCUCAGUCAGUCUCUCUCUCUUCCUCCCUUCCUCACUCAGUCUCUUUCUUUCUUUCUUUCUUUCUUCCUUUCUCUCUCUGUCUGUGUCUUCCGCCGCCGUGUAAGUUCAUCCACUGUGUCAGGGUGAUCACUGGGCUCGAGAAGAGUGAGAAGAGUGGGCUUUUUUGAUGCUUUUUUGUUUCGUGGAGCCGGACGCUUCAACCUCAUCCAGAUCCUCAGCAUCAGCAUCUUUAGCAUCCUCAGCAGCUUCAGCAGCCUCAGCAGCAGCAGCAGCGUCCGUCCACCUGUGUGCCGCGGGACUCUGCCUGGCCGCCCCUCUGUCUCUCUCCCCCUCUCUGUCUCUGUGUGGCUCUCUGAGGAGUGUGUGUGGAGCGCGUGCGGAGAGCCGCAGCCGUGGUGCUACCCCCGGCGUAUCGCACGCAGGCAGCAGACGCCUCCUCCUGGGCUUUCAGCUCCGCAGGAGGCACCUACCGGACCCCAGGGCUGGGAGGGAGGGCUCGUACAGUGGGAUGUUGUCUACAGUGUGGAGAUGCUCAGCAGUGUGGAGAUGGUCAACAGCUCAUGCUUUGGUGCUGCAGGGGGAAUCCAGCUCGGGCCAGGCUCUCCACACGCUGGAGAUUGAGAAGAGCCGUUGAUGGGGCCUUGCCUUGCCACAAAGCGUCUCCAGUCAAUUGUUUUGAAAAGGCCUUGCCAUUUGCCAAAAUGGCCGAGGACUAUGCUCACGAUUCCGUUAUUGCUUUCUCCGUAAAAAAAGACUCUCUUCGGUGACGGGUAUUCUUGGGUGGAUAAUACGGAUCACGUUGUUAUUGCUUAAGAAUACGCGUAGUCGAGGAGAGUCAUGUCGGCGGUGACGGCAGGGGACUAGAGAGAGAGCACAGCCCAGAGAGCCCACCUGCCUGCCCUGCUGCCUUUAGAGCAGGGGCUCACACACAUGCAUGCAUACACACACACACACACACACACACACCUACUCACUAACGCACACACAAUCACAUGAACGCACACACACGCAUUCACAUUCACAUUCACGCAAGCACUCAUUCAUGCAAGCAUGCACUGAGACUUACUCACACACUCAGGACCAUUUAUCAAGCAAGCAGACAGACAGACAGACAGACAGACAGAGCUGCAUCUCCUGUGUCUGUGUGUGUGAUGACUGUGCUGUUGAGUCUCUGUAGACGGGGCUGGCCACUCCUGUUCACCACGUUGCCUUCUUUUUUAACACACACUUCAUACUUACAUACACAUACACAUGCACGCACACACAUUUGAUGAAGAAAAAAAACAAAUGUUUAUAUUUUUGAUUUGUAUUCCUCACCUGCUUAUGCCUUCCAAUUGCACUGAUGUAUAAUCUCAGCUAUAGUGCCUUACUGACUUAUAUGUAUACUUCUACUAUGAAUGUGUAUCAAGUUUAGGGCUAUGUGUUUGUAUCUGUUUAUUGAUUUGUUUUGUUGUUUGCUCACCGAUUGAUGCCGAUCAGCUUGAGUGUUUUCGCAGGGAGCUUGGUAAAAAGAACAGUGUAUUGUGGGGUGGCUGGGGUAGGUAGAGCUGCAGAUGCAAAUGCGUGUAGUCCACAGUAUUUAUUAUCUGUCCUCAGGACCACACACUCUUCACCUCCCACUCCACCUUUUUUCAUGCAAAUUGAUUUUGAAAUGACAUUUAUCGCGUGGGGUUUUUCCGCACGGAAGCCUGCCCCUCCACAAGGGCUGAGGGUAUAAAAAAACAGACACACACACACACACAAACACAAAAUGUCCACCAAGCCAGCGAGACAGCUCAAUUUAUGCGCUGGGGAGGAAGACUGAUUCUAAAAGAACACACAGCAGAUAAACAAUUACCACAGGCUUAGAUUGACUAGCACGCCGCUCACCAUGUAGCCACACACAUAUCAUGAAUAUGUAUCAGUCACCGCAUAUGAUGGUGCAUUCUAAACUCUAACACCCAUGAAAAUCCAUUUAAGCAGCGUAAUAGGAUCUACUUGACUUAUGAAAGCAUACCCUCAGACAUGUCAAAUCUUAUAAAUAUACAUGAGAUCUCUUCUUUUGGCAGGAAUAUAUUUUCCUUCGUUUCCAAAAAAGCGUGAAAGGAAAUAUUAUAAAAAAAACACACACACACACACACACACACAUACCCACAAAAACAAAAUAUGUUGAUGUAUUAAAGAGGGAGGAUUUCUAAAUCUGCAAACAGUCCAAUUUACUCCUGAUUAUCAUUAAGCACAUUGAAAUGAUGCAUUAACAUUUCAGACAGACGAAAGAAAACAAUUCAGUGGCUCUCCUCUUGAUCACCCUGUAAUUAUGGUUCUUUUGGCUGUGCUUUAAUGAACUGUGAGUGGUGGCAGAGACAGUAACACCAUGUUAUGCACCUUUGCCACUAGGGGACUCACACAACUGAAAAAUAGUGUGUCAGUCUGCUUAUGGUUCCAAUUUUAAGGCAUAGUUUUUAUUUAAUUUGGAGAAAAAAUGCUUUGAUAUACAGAAUUAUAUUUUCUGAGCUUUUUGCUUUUAAUUGCAAUUUAUUGGAUUGGAAAAAUCCUCUCAAGUCACAUGCUUGCAUUCACAUGCUUUCAGAACAUGCAGAUGGCAAUGAAUAUAGCAUAAUAUUUUAAAUGGACAUAUAUUAAAAAUAAUAAUACAGUAAAAAAUAUAUAAAAAUAACAUCAAAAACCUUUUAAUAUUUUUGAACUAAACACACUAGUUUAACACUAAUAGGACGAAGAUAAAUAUAUUAGUCUUAAUUAUUUAAUAGAAACUAAUUCUAAAAUAUACCUCACAAUUUUAUAUCACUCUUAUCACCAUAUAUCAAAGUGGUGAACACAGCAGGACCAGGACUGCUACAAAGAGCCAGUUGGACAAAGAGCUCUGACUUGCCCCUCCCCUCCCCCCUUCAGACCUGUUAUAGCAGUGUAUUAAUGGUGAUCUGCAUUAUCAGUUGUAGCAUUAUUUAUUUAUUUGUAUAUAUAUUAUAGGCCACAUUUUACCAUUGACAGUAUUAUUCUGAUUACUUUGUAAUUAAGACAUUUGAAUUAAAUUGUUGUAUUUGUGUAGGAACAUUGUGCUUGCUGCUAAUUAAAUCUGUAUUUUCUAUUUUUGAUAAACAAUCUCCCUGAAAUCGUGAAAUUAUAUAUAUAUAUAUUUUUGUCCUCUUCUGCUGGUUUCACACACAUGACCUCAGUCUGUCAGCACAUUAUACAAUUAUUGUAAUUAUAUACAGCAAGGUACCUCAAAAUUACUGCACUUUAUAUUACUGGAUUUUUAUUCAUUCUGUACAAUUUGUCCUGCUCUUUAUGUCAUGAAUAAAGCUCUAUUUAAUUGAAAUUUAUGGAUUUGU
Molecule: long non-coding RNA, 3727 nt
Filed under: Astyanax mexicanus (Mexican tetra)
Lineage: Eukaryota; Metazoa; Chordata; Actinopteri; Characiformes; Acestrorhamphidae
Description: lncRNA (ENSAMXG00005013612.1)
Rfam family: mir-137 microRNA precursor family (bases 1158-1228)
Source: RNAcentral